RNAcentral lists this long non-coding RNA (266 nucleotides) under Solanum tuberosum (potato). RNAcentral describes it as "long non-coding RNA (STUB_LNC009223)". Lineage: Eukaryota; Viridiplantae; Streptophyta; Magnoliopsida; Solanales; Solanaceae. The record is from RNAcentral.
UGACUAAUAAUAUUGGUUGACAAUAAUAUGGUUGCCAACAGUGGUUUUGAUGGCAAGGAUGGCUGGUAGUUGGUGAUGAUGGUAAUUGUGAUGACAAAGGUGGUUAAUAGUUAUGGAUAGAGUGAUAGUGAAAAUUUUUCAUACAAAAUACCUAUUAAAUAAUCGUAUUGCUUUCAUUUAAUCAAAGUUUGAACCUAAAUCGUUCAUUCUUUAGCCAAUUAAGAGCAUUUGCUCACAUUAGGAUUUUAACACUUAUUUAAUUUAAA